This 251-nucleotide ribosomal RNA is filed under the name uncultured prokaryote. RNAcentral's name for it is "partial 16S rRNA". It matches the Rfam family "Bacterial small subunit ribosomal RNA", at positions 525 to 775 of the family's 1533-position model. The record is from RNAcentral.
ACGGAGGAUCCGAGCGUUAUCCGGAUUUAUUGGGUUUAAAGGGUGCGUAGGCGGAAAAAUAAGUCAGUUGUGAAAUUUUGCGGCUCAACCUUAAAAUUGCAGUUGAUACUGUUUUUCUUGAGUGUACAUAAGGUAGGUGGAAUUCGUGGUGUAGCGGUGAAAUGCUUAGAUAUCUCGAAGAACACCAAUGGUGAAGGCAGCUUACCGGGCUACAACUGACGCUGAGGCACGAAAGUGUGGGUAUCAAACAG